RNAcentral lists this ribosomal RNA (803 nucleotides) under Morganella morganii. Its description in RNAcentral is "partial 23S ribosomal RNA". It matches the Rfam family "Bacterial large subunit ribosomal RNA", at positions 467 to 1269 of the family's 2925-position model. The record is from RNAcentral. Lineage: Bacteria; Pseudomonadati; Pseudomonadota; Gammaproteobacteria; Enterobacterales; Morganellaceae.
UAAAUACUCCUGACUGACCGAUAGUGAACCAGUACCGUGAGGGAAAGGCGAAAAGAACCCCGGCGAGGGGAGUGAAAAAGAACCUGAAACCGUGUACGUACAAGCAGUGGGAGCACCUUUAUGGUGUGACUGCGUACCUUUUGUAUAAUGGGUCAGCGACUUAUAUUCUGUAGCAAGGUUAACCGAAUAGGGGAGCCGCAGGGAAACCGAGUCUUAACUGGGCGUCUUAGUUGCAGGGUAUAGACCCGAAACCCGGUGAUCUAGCCAUGGGCAGGUUGAAGGUUGGGUAACACUAACUGGAGGACCGAACCGACUAAUGUUGAAAAAUUAGCGGAUGACUUGUGGCUGGGGGUGAAAGGCCAAUCAAACCGGGAGAUAGCUGGUUCUCCCCGAAAGCUAUUUAGGUAGCGCCUCGUGAAUUCAUCUCCGGGGGUAGAGCACUGUUUCGGCUAGGGGGUCAUCCCGACUUACCAACCCGAUGCAAACUGCGAAUACCGGAGAAUGUUAUCACGGGAGACACACGGCGGGUGCUAACGUUCGUCGUGAAGAGGGAAACAACCCAGACCGCCGGCUAAGGUCCCAAAGUCAUAAUUAAGUGGGAAACGAAGUGGGAAGGCUCAGACAGCCAGGAUGUUGGCUUAGAAGCAGCCAUCAUUUAAAGAAAGCGUAAUAGCUCACUGGUCGAGUCGGCCUGCGCGGAAGAUGUAACGGGGCUAAAUUAUGCACCGAAGCCGCGGCAGCGAUAUGUAAAUAUUGUUGGGUAGGGGAGCGUUCUGUAAGCCUGUGAAGGUGUGCUGUGAGGC